This is a long non-coding RNA of Hemicordylus capensis (graceful crag lizard), 4292 nucleotides long. RefSeq lists it as uncharacterized. The transcript has 3 exons. Lineage: Eukaryota; Metazoa; Chordata; Lepidosauria; Squamata; Cordylidae. The record is from RefSeq and is a predicted model, not a curated record.
UGUGGUGUGCGAGAGUGAGGGAGAGCGGGGGUGGGGAGGAAAGAAGGAAGGAAGAGAAAGGAAGGAAGAAAGAGAGGAGUGGGUGCGGGCGGUGCUGGGCGCUCCUGGCUCUGGAGCAGCGGCUGCGGAGGGCUGGGCGAGGGGGAAGCCAGAGAGAGAGGGAGUUACCCCGGGGUGAAUGUGGGGAGAGCGCGCCUGUGCCGAGCCAGCCGAGGGCUGGGGAAGGUGGCCGGGGCAGCCUGCCUGCCUGCUAGCCCUGCGGGAGAGGCUGUGCCCCUGAACUCUUCGCUGGGGAAGAGAAGAAAGCUGGAACUAAUGGAGAAACUUCAAAUGAAGAAACACCAUCCCACCCCAAGCCUGUUAUCUCUGCGGCAACCCGGGAUGACUGAUGCAGCCUCCACUGGACAGAAUUCUCGCAGAAGGCCUCACCUCCAAGGGUGUCUCUGCUGACUCUCUCAUCCUUCCCACUUUGGAUCUCAGGUGCCUAAACUUGAAGCAAGUCUUUGGGGACAGAAACGGCUCUUCCUUUCUAGUACACCUCUGAUUAUUGGAUGCUGGAGACAAACGAUUCCCACAGUGAAUUGUCAGCUUGUUUGUCAGCUUCAUAGUGGGGAUAUCUGGCUGGAGCUUUUGGAGGGUGAAAUGCUAGACUAGAUAGUCUGAUCUGAUCAGGCAGUUCCUUUGUUCCAAGCAAGCUUGAGGACUAGCACUUUUCAGAAGUGAACCACUGGUUGACAUUCACUGAAAGGAUUCUACUUGAUAGACUUAAUCCUUGGUGAAGAUCUCAUCUUGUAUCUUCUUGCAAGUAUUAUCAAGGAAGCCCCCUUCUUGCUGCUCCCUCAAGUUAACUUUCCCCCCACUAUGCAGGAGCGAGAUGCUUUCUUUAACUCUGCAAAUUACAUGGUGAAAUGAAUGCUAAUCAUGUCAGAUUAGUGAAAUCCUAUUAAAAUUAAUUAAUCUGGUAAAAUUAAAUUUCUUUACUUUCAGUAGCAGGCCUCUGCACCUUUAAGGAGGAAAUAAAACAAAAUCUGUAAACAAAAUUAGCAGGCACAAUUAAGUGCAAAUGAGCUGUGCUUGAUACUCAGAUAGCCAGUGCUUCGUUUCUAAAAUGAAGCAAGUUGCUCUGCUUGUAAGCCAUGGCCUGAUCUCAGACCUGGCUGGGAGCCCCACUCCCUAACCCCAGGCCAGUGCAACAUGUUUGUGCUUUCUCAGUGGUGAAGGGACAACACUUUGUACCAGGAAUGCCAUUUAAGACUUCAGUGAUGGGGUUGGAGAGAAGGGCAAGAUUCAGCAAGCACAUUCAAAUACAUGCAAGGUAAAACUGCAAAAAGCAGGUGUAUUUGAAAGCAUUUGUUGUGGUUAUUUUCACAGCAAAUGUUUUUAAUCAAUUUUAUUCCUCAUCAUAAUUAGGCUAUUGUUAUUAGGGCAAGCAGAUAGGCACUUAAAAAAAACACCCCAGAAAACAACAGCAAAAAAGCAGUUUGCACUGUUGGCAUGCAACAUCAGCCCAUUUCAUCUAUAAGAACCACCACAUAGUGCACAGAACGUGUUCACUGAGCAGAGUUAUAGAUGCUCCUGAGAUAUGUUCAUAUAUUGAUCAGUGGACACAGCCACCCCUCCUUUCCUCCCUAUAUGGAGCUUCUUUUCCGUUUAUGGGCAGAAACAGUGCUAUUCUUGCUGACAUCCAGGGCCAAGUCUUGGCACUAUAAAGAAGCUCCUGGACCCAGCUUUGGUGAAGCCUGACUUACAUCCUAUGGCGGAUUAACGUAGUAGCAACUGUAGCAUUUGCUAUGGACCCCAUGUUUCCGAGGGCCCCACACGCCCGGCUUCCAACUGGGAAUUAAAGUUAAAACUUUACCUGUUUUAUUUGGUCCACGUUAGAUAAAAUAUCCCUUUUCUGCUACAUGUGCCUUUUAAGAGAAGGCCCAGCACAGCAUCUGUCCAGUGGCUGUUGCUGGUGCCUACCACAUUUUUCUUUUUAGAGUGUGAGCCCUUUGGAGACAGAGAAUCAUCUAUCCACUCUUCAUUUUUCUAUGUAAACCACUUCGAGAAUUUUGAUUGAAAAACAGUAUUAAAAUGUUCACUGUUGUAGUAGUAAGUGUGAGUUUGUGGCUUGGUCUCCCACAUUCCAAAAUAUAGCAAAUGAAAAAACUGAAUUACUUUACUAUGCAAGUAAAUAAUUUAUGUUUUAAUAUUUAUAUGCAUUUUUAAAAAAUUUAGGGCCCCUUUAUAACAUAUGCUACAGGCCCUGCACUAGCUUAAUCCGGCCCUGCUUACAUUAAACCUUACAGUAAGAAUACACACACACACACACACACACACACCCAUUGUCUGAAGUUAAAAAUAUCACUUGUGGUAUCAUCUUUCCACUGUCUGCUUCUUUUUUAGUGGUGGUAAGUGAAAGUACAUAUACAUGCAGUUUUAUUUUCUUCUGUGGCCAGAGUUCACAUCACACUAUGGGACCCCUAAAACUUUCUGCUCUGGAUCCUUAACUCCCUCCUGUUUCCAUAGAUGCUUCUUUACAAGGUCCAUAAAGUUGUCUCCCAGGCCAGACCAUUAUCUUCUGCCCACCUUAUACACACUCACACACAACACAGAACCUACUUGCAAAAUCAGUACCCAGUUUGUCUGUGAGUGCCUGAGCCCAUGCCAAGGCAGGAACCCUGAGGUUCACUUGGGGACUCAAACUGUGUAACAAAGAUUUGAAGCUGGUUUGCCAAACCACGUGCUGUUUCCACUGAAGUGUGUGUUAUGUAUGAACCCAACCUUUCCAUGAAUUUCUGGUUCAUUCCACCCCCUUUGGAAUGUCUGUGGACCAAUCAGGACCAAUGUCUGUGAGGAAGAACAAGGCAGGAUGGGAUAGCAUCCAGGGGCCUCACUGUGUGGCCUGGCCAGGGCAUUAAAAAACGAACACCAAACUUUCAACAAAAUGAGAUAUGUGAUUGUUUGCUGCAUCAACUUCAGAUUCCCUCCAUAUCUUGGGCUUGGACCUUAAGUUCUGUGUUAUGUGUGAAACCACCCUUAGAUUACCACUUUUCUGGUGACUCCUACACAUUUCCCCAUCUCCCAUUGCAAUUUCUAGCCUGAAGUAAGUGGGGAUGGGGCCAUUGUUCAGUGGUAUAGCAUCUGCUUUGCCUACAGAAGGUCCCAGGUUCAAUCUAUAGUAUCUCCAGGUAGAGGUGGGAAAGACUCUUGCCAGGGGCGUAGCAAGGUUGGAGUGUGCCCAGAGACAAGAUUUUAAAAUGCCCCCCCCCCCCCAAGUCCAGGGCCUCCACACACCCCAGGCCCCCAAGGAUUUAAGUCUGAUAUUCCAAAAUAAGUAUGCUGCCUGCAAAUACAUUUCACUGAAUACACACACACACAUCACAAUAUAUAGUGAUAUACAUUGAGUACUAUACAUCUGUAUUACUUUUAAUGCCUAGGACACACUAGAAAGAUGAAUGAUUAAAAUGGGCCCCUCGCUGCAGAUUAGCAAAGGAGACUUUCAACCAUGCAGGGUGAACCUAUGUUUGUUUUCUCAGAAUUCUGAACAAAUUCAGUCAAGUUUGAUUCCAGGAGGUUUUUCACAGGAGGCUUUUAAAGCCCUUUAAGACAUAUCUCCUCUGGAAUGGAGGUGCUGCAUUCACAUGUUGGCCAGAUUGACCCUGAAGUCCCUGCAAGUUAUUGGGGAGCAGUUCACACGCAAGAAAAAUAAAAUAAAAGCACCACACAUGCUUCACAGUUCUCACUCAGACCUUCUGGGUUGCAAAACAACUUGAACAUAAGUGCAUUUAUAAAUGAAUGAAUGAAUAAAUAAAAUUAAUAAAAUACUGUUUCUUCCAGAAGUUUUUGCAAUUUUCUGCCAUGAAACAAGCCACUUAUAGGACUUUUUAGAUAGUUUUUUUAAGUCAGCAAAUUUUCCAAGCUGUUUCAAAAUAAAUAUUCAGAGACUUCUCGGUCCCCCCCCCCAUAUCCAAGCCCUAUGGCAAGCAGAUCCCUAUAUAUGGGGCGGGGGGGCGGGAAAGGUAACCACAAAAAGGAGUUCACACUCUACCUGGAAAAUGCUGGUCUGGGUUAAGCAGGGCAGCAAGGGGUCUUCUGCUGCAGAGAACACUCUGGCUGCCUCCUCCUUCCUGGCUGGCUUGGGCCCUACUGGAGUUCAGGCCUCACUGCGGCCUACACGGAGGCCUCCGUGGAAGCCCCGCCCACCCGCCGAUCAGCUGAGAGGCGGGAGAAAAGGAGCUCUUGGCAGCUGGGCUGCUGCUUCGAUUGCGGGCCAGCAGAACAAGCAGGAGAGACGGCGAAGAGGGCAA